RNAcentral lists this ribosomal RNA (492 nucleotides) under uncultured bacterium. Its description in RNAcentral is "partial 16S ribosomal RNA". It matches the Rfam family "Bacterial small subunit ribosomal RNA", at positions 29 to 507 of the family's 1533-position model. The record is from RNAcentral.
AGUGAACGCUGGCGGUAGGCCUAACACAUGCAAGUCGAACGGCAGCACCGUAAGAGCUUGCUCUUACGGGUGGCGAGUGGCGGACGGGUGAGGAAUACAUCGGAAUCUACUUUUUCGUGGGGGAUAACGUAGGGAAACUUACGCUAAUACCGCAUACGACCUACGGGUGAAAGCAGGGGAUCUUCGGACCUUGCGCGAUUGAAUGAGCCGAUGUCGGAUUAGCUAGUUGGCGGGGUAAAGGCCCACCAAUGCGACGAUCCGUAGCUGGUCUGAGAGGAUGGUCAGCCACACUGGAACUGAGACACGGUCCAGACUCCUACGGGAGGCAGCAGUGGGGAAUAUUGGGCAAUGGGCGCAAGCCUGAUCCAGCCAUACCGCGUGGGUGAAGAAGGCCUUCGGGUUGUAAAGCCCUUUUGUUGGGAAAGAAAAGCAGCAGGUUAAUACCCCGCUGUUCUGACGGUACCCAAAGAAUAAGCACCGGCUAACUUCGUG